ACUGUUGACUUCUCGGAGCCGUUUU
This 25-nucleotide microRNA is filed under the name Eptesicus fuscus (big brown bat). RNAcentral describes it as "efu-miR-9355". Lineage: Eukaryota; Metazoa; Chordata; Mammalia; Chiroptera; Vespertilionidae. The record is from miRBase by way of RNAcentral.